ACGUGACACUUACCCCCAAAAGUGACACAGUUACCGUCAUAAUUUUGCACCUGUGCUCACUUUCAGAUAUCGGUGGGGAUGCUGUGGACCUCUUUGGUAACUAUGCAGGCUCACUGAACGAGGAACCGGCCUACUUCGAUCUGAGCGAGAACCAGCUGAAGUGGCAGGAGAGAGUGCAGGCUCUCAAGGUGCGCCUCGCUGUCGAGCAGGGCCUGCAUGACGUGCUCUUCAAGGAGGGCUUCAGCGAGCGCAUGCCGCCCAGGUGAGGCCUGAGCCGCCCAGGUGAGCCACCUGCGUGGGUCACCCAGAUGAGCCACUUGGGUGAGCCACCCAGGUGAGCCACCUAGGCAGGACACCCGGGCGAGCCAUCCAGGCGAGCCACCUGGUUAAGCCCCCAGAGGUGAGUCACCCAGGCUGGCCAUACAGGUGGGCCACCCAGAUAAGCCACCUGGGCGAGACACCCAGGUGAGGCACCUGGGUUGAGCCACUCGUCACUCAGGUGAUUCCUUCUGACGAUACGCCACGGCAUGCGUGGUCCUGUAAUGAGACUUCUCACU
This is a non-coding RNA of Petromyzon marinus (sea lamprey), 557 nucleotides long. Lineage: Eukaryota; Metazoa; Chordata; Hyperoartia; Petromyzontiformes; Petromyzontidae. The record is from RefSeq and is a predicted model, not a curated record.